Molecule: ribosomal RNA, 253 nt
Filed under: uncultured bacterium
Lineage: Bacteria
Description: partial 16S ribosomal RNA
Rfam family: Bacterial small subunit ribosomal RNA
Source: RNAcentral
UACAGAGGUCUCAAGCGUUGUUCGGAUUCAUUGGGCGUAAAGAGCUCGUAGGCGGUCUGUUGCGUCCGCUGUGAAAACUCGGGGCUUAACCCCGAGCCUGCAGUGGAUACGGGCAGACUAGAGGUAGGUAGGGGAGAAUGGAAUUCCCGGUGUAGCGGUGAAAUGCGCAGAUAUCAGGAGGAACACCGAUGGCGAAGGCAGGUCUCUGGGCCACUACUGACGCUGAGAAGCGAAAGCAUGGGGAGCGAACAGG